This 478-nucleotide ribosomal RNA is filed under the name uncultured bacterium. RNAcentral's name for it is "partial 16S ribosomal RNA". It matches the Rfam family "Bacterial small subunit ribosomal RNA", at positions 28 to 523 of the family's 1533-position model. The record is from RNAcentral.
GACGAACGCUGGCAGCGUGCUUAACACAUGCAAGUCGAACGGUAAGGCCCUUCGGGGUACACGAGUGGCGAACGGGUGAGUAACACGUGGGUGAUCUGCCCUGCACUUCGGGAUAAGCCUGGGAAACUGGGUCUAAUACCGGAUAGGACCACUGCCUGCAUGGGUGGUGGUGGAGAGCUUUUGCGGUGUGGGAUGGGCCCGCGGCCUAUCAGCUUGUUGGUGGGGUGAUGGCCUGCCAAGGCGACGACGGGUAGCCGGCCUGAGAGGGUGACCGGCCACACUGGGACUGAGAGACGGCCCAGACUCCUACGGGAGGCAGCAGUGGGGAAUAUUGCACAAUGGGCGCAAGCCUGAUGCAGCGACGCCGCGUGAGGGAUGACGGCCUUCGGGUUGUAAACCUCUUUCAGCACCGACGAAGCGCAAGUGACGGUAGGUGCAGAAGAAGGACCGGCCAACUACGUGCCAGCAGCCGCCGUAA